RNAcentral lists this ribosomal RNA (749 nucleotides) under uncultured Diversispora. Its description in RNAcentral is "SSU rRNA". It matches the Rfam family "Eukaryotic small subunit ribosomal RNA", at positions 314 to 1065 of the family's 1831-position model. The record is from RNAcentral. Lineage: Eukaryota; Fungi; Glomeromycota; Glomeromycetes; Diversisporales; Diversisporaceae.
AUCAACUUUCGAUGGUAGGAUAGAGGCCUACUACGGUGGUGACGGGUGACGGAGAAUUAGGGUUCGAUUCCGGAGAGGGAGCCUGAGAAACGGCUACCACAUCCAAGGAUGGCAGCAGGCGCGCAAAUUACCCAAUCCCGACACGGGGAGGUAGUGACAAUAAAUAACAAUACGGGGUUCUUUAGGAUUUCGUAAUCGGAAUGAGUACAAUUUAAAUCUCUUAACGAGGAACGAUUGGAGGGCAAGUCUGGUGCCAGCAGCCGCGGUAAUUCCAGCUCCAAUAGCGUAUAUUAAAGUUGUUGCAGUUAAAAAGCUCGUAGUUGAACUUCGGGGUUUACCCAUUGGUCAGGCUUAAUUGUCUGUACUGGUGAGAUGAAUCUCUACCUUCUGAGGAACUUUCAUGCCAUUUAUUUGGUGUGAUUGGAAAUCAGGACUGUUACUUUGAAAAAAUUAGAGUGUUUAAAGCAGGCUAACGUCUGAAUACAUUAGCAUGGAAUAAUGAAAUAGGACGGAUUGAUUCUAUUUCGUUGGUUUCUAGGAUCACCGUAAUGAUUAAUAGGGAUAGUUGGGGGCAUUAGUAUUCAAUUGUCAGAGGUGAAAUUCUUGGAUUUAUUGAAGACUAACUACUGCGAAAGCAUUUGCCAAGGAUGUUUUCAUUAAUCAAGAACGAAAGUUAGGGGAUCGAAGACGAUCAGANACCGUCGUAGUCUUAACCAUAAACUAUGCCGACUAGGGAUCGGACGAAGUUA